AUUGAACGCUGGCGGAAUGCUUUACACAUGCAAGUCGAACGGCAGCACGGGGGCAACCCUGGUGGCGAGUGGCGAACGGGUGAGUAAUACAUCGGAACGUGCCCAGUCGUGGGGGAUAACGUAGCGAAAGUUACGCUAAUACCGCAUACGAUCUACGGAUGAAAGCGGGGGACCGUAAGGCCUCGCGCGAUUGGAGCGGCCGAUAUCAGAUUAGGUAGUUGGUGGGGUAAAGGCCCACCAAGCCAACGAUCUGUAGCUGGUCUGAGAGGACGACCAGCCACGCUGGAACUGAGACACGGUCCAGACUCCUACGGGAGGCAGCAGUGGGGAAUUUUGGACAAUGGGCGAAAGCCUGAUUCAGCCAUUCCGCGUGCAGGAUGAAGGCCCUCGGGUUGUAAACUGCUUUUGUACAGAACGAAAAGGUUUCUACUAAUACUAGGAGCUCAUGACGGUACUGUAAGAAUAAGCACCGGCUAACUACGUGCCAGCAGCCGCAGUAA
RNAcentral lists this ribosomal RNA (500 nucleotides) under uncultured bacterium. Its description in RNAcentral is "partial 16S ribosomal RNA". It matches the Rfam family "Bacterial small subunit ribosomal RNA", at positions 30 to 523 of the family's 1533-position model. The record is from RNAcentral.